UACGGAGGGUGCAAGCAUUAAUCGGAUUUAUUGGGCGUAAAGGGCGCGUAGGCGGAAAUAUAAGUCAGAUGUGAAAUCCCAGGGCUCAACCUGGAACAGCAUUUGAAACUGUAUAUCUAGAGGGUAGGCGGAGAAAACGGAAUUCCACAUGUAGCGGUGAAAUGCGUAGAUAUGUGGAAGAACACCGGUGGCGAAGGCGGUUUUCUAGCUUAUACCUGACGCUAAGGCGCGAAAGCAAGGGGAGCAAACAGG
This 252-nucleotide ribosomal RNA is filed under the name uncultured bacterium. RNAcentral describes it as "partial 16S ribosomal RNA". It matches the Rfam family "Bacterial small subunit ribosomal RNA", at positions 524 to 776 of the family's 1533-position model. The record is from RNAcentral.